GCCAGACUCCUACGGGAGGCAGCAGUGAGGAAUAUUGGUCAAUGGGCGGGAGCCUGAACCAGCCAAGUCGCGUGAGGGAUGACGGUCCUACGGAUUGUAAACCUCUUUUGCCGGGGAGCAAGCGUGCGUUCGUGAACGCGCGUCGAGAGUACCCGGAGAAAAAGCAUCGGCUAACUCCGUGCCAGCAGCCGCGGUAAUACGGAGGAUGCGAGCGUUAUCCGGAUUUAUUGGGUUUAAAGGGUGCGCAGGCGGAAUGUCAAGUCAGCGGUAAAAUUUCGGGGCUCAACCCCGUCGUGCCGUUGGAACUGGCGUUCUUGAGUGAGCGAGAAGUAUGCGGAAUGCGUGGUGUAGCGGUGAAAUGCAUAGAUAUCACGCAGAACUCCGAUUGCGAAGGCAGCAUACCGGCGCUCAACUGACGCUCAUGCACGAAAGCGUGGGUAUCGAACAGGAUUAGAUACCCUAGUACUG
This 468-nucleotide ribosomal RNA is filed under the name uncultured bacterium. RNAcentral describes it as "bacterial SSU rRNA". It matches the Rfam family "Bacterial small subunit ribosomal RNA", at positions 330 to 797 of the family's 1533-position model. The record is from RNAcentral.